RNAcentral lists this ribosomal RNA (467 nucleotides) under uncultured bacterium. RNAcentral's name for it is "partial 16S ribosomal RNA". It matches the Rfam family "Bacterial small subunit ribosomal RNA", at positions 28 to 507 of the family's 1533-position model. The record is from RNAcentral.
GACGAACGCUGGCGGCGUGCUUAACACAUGCAAGUCGAACGGAAAGGCUCCAGCUUGCUGGCGUACUCGAGUGGCGAACGGGUGAGUAACACGUGGGUAAUCUGCCCUGCACUCUGGGAUAAGCCUGGGAAACUGGGUCUAAUACUGGAUAUGACCUUUCUCCUUAUGGGGUUUGGUGGAAAGUUUUUCGGUGUAGGAUGAGCCCGCGGCCUAUCAGCUUGUUGGUGGGGUGAUGGCCUACCAAGGCGACGACGGGUAGCCGGCCUGAGAGGGUGAUCGGACAAAUGGGGAGGGAGAUGGCGCACAGACCCCGGGGGGAGGAAGGAGGGGGAAAUUUGGAAAAAGGGGCGGAGGCUGGAGGCAGCGACCCCGGGGGGGGGAGGAGGGCUUUGGGGUGGAAACCCUCUUCCGGCGGGAAAGAAGGGAAAGGGACGGUCCCUGAAAAAAAAGCCCCGCCAAAUUAUGUC